UAAGUAAGCGGAGGAAAAGAAACUAACUAGGAUUCCCUUAGUAAUGGCGAAUGAACAGGGAUCAGCUCAGUGCCAAAUCGGAAUCACUUGUGGUUCUGAAAUGUGGCUUGAAGGCAGUACCAGUGGCAUCGCGGACGAAAGUCUCUUGGAAAAGAGCGUCACAGAGGGUGAGAAUCCCGUGAGUCGUUCGCCGUUUGUCACGUACGGUCUGCGUUCUAACGAGUCGCGUUCCUUGGGAUUGGAGCGUAAACGGGUGGUAAAUUUCAUCCAAAGCAAAAUAUAUACUCGAGACCGAUAGCACAAAAGUACCGUGAGGGAAAGGUGAAAAGAACUUUGAGAAGAGGGUUAAAUAGUGCCUGAAAUCGUUGAGAAGGAAGCGGAUGCCGCCGUUGCAUAUGCUGAUUGUAGGAUUGCUGCUCGCUCCUGUCUUCUGCUACUCAUUCACAGACCUGGUCGUGUUGAGCAGUUGUUUGGCAGAUGUUAGUGGUGUUUCCUACUCUCAGUCGUCAGCAUCACUGGCUGAGUGGAAAUAAUCCUUGGAUGCUAAUUGGUUCGCUAUCUGUGAAUUGGUUGCUUCCUUGCGAUACUCACUACUCGGUCAGUGAGGAAGUGCGUUUGCUGGUCAACGAGCUUUCUAACUGUCAUUACCCUGCGCUUUUCGAUUCGUCGAGUGGCCAGGAUGUGGCUUUGAGAUUGUUCGCACUUAGUAAUCGCGAUGCUGGCUUCCAACGGUUGCCUCCGGCCCGUCUUGAAACACGGACCAAGGAGUCUAACGUAUGUGCGAGUGUGUGAGUGGCAAACUUAUACGCGUAAUGAAAGUGAGGCCGUAUGGCCAUGUUGGGGUCACCAACAACCGACCUUGAUCUUCGGUGAAAGGUUUGAGUAUGAGCAUAUCCGUUAGGACCCGAAAGAUGGUGAACUAUGCCUGAGCAGGGUGAAGCCAGGGGAAACUCUGGUGGAGGCUCGUAGCGAUA
RNAcentral lists this ribosomal RNA (974 nucleotides) under Perkinsus marinus. Its description in RNAcentral is "LSU rRNA". It matches the Rfam family "Eukaryotic large subunit ribosomal RNA", at positions 43 to 885 of the family's 3401-position model. Lineage: Eukaryota; Perkinsozoa; Perkinsida; Perkinsidae. The record is from RNAcentral.